AAGAUGUGAUAGGUAAAGUUUAGAUGUUGAAUAUUUUAGUUGGAUAUUUAAGUUUGCAACAAUGAAGUUAAUGUAUCUAACUUUGUUAGUUGUUUUGAUCGUCACGAUCUCUAGUAUGGCUCAAGAAAUUAAUAAAACUGAGGCUGAAAAAGAAGAGGAGCAAUAUACGAAAACUGCCGAAAAAAUUGCACUCCAUCAGGAUGAACUGGGUACAGAAUCCUUAGCGUUGGUUUGGGAAGCAUGGUGGAAAGUUUUACAUGACGUUUACUGGGAAGUAAUGUAAUGAUGGCUAUAUUAAUACUAAUACAAUACAAUCAGCAGAUUUUUUUAAAUUAAUGCAAAUAUUCUGUAACCAUUGUAUGAUAAUAUAUCAUUCGAUGCUGUGAAGAAUUAUACAUUUUUCAAACAGUAUUUUUCGUAUCGAAAUUAUGUAAAGUAUAAUAUGUAUAAUCAACAGAAAUACAAAUACAACUUGUACAAUCAU
This is a long non-coding RNA of Nylanderia fulva, 484 nucleotides long. RefSeq lists it as uncharacterized. Lineage: Eukaryota; Metazoa; Arthropoda; Insecta; Hymenoptera; Formicidae. The record is from RefSeq and is a predicted model, not a curated record.